Poecile atricapillus (Black-capped chickadee) is the source of this 5751-nucleotide RNA transcript. It is a transcript of the gene named forkhead box O6, with no coding region annotated. The transcript has 4 exons. Lineage: Eukaryota; Metazoa; Chordata; Aves; Passeriformes; Paridae. The record is from RefSeq and is a predicted model, not a curated record.
GGAGGGAGCGAGCGAGCCGCGGCCGCCCCAGCAUGUGGCCCGCCCGCGCCGUGGCGGCAGCGCGGCGGCGGCGGCGGCGGCGGGCAGGUGCGCGGCCGCUGAAGCGGAGCGGGGGGGCGUAGGGGCGGGAGCCGCCCGCCGCCGCCCUCGCCGGCGCUGUCAGGUGCCCCGCCGCCCGGCCCCGGAGCCCGCCGGUCCCCGGCCGAGGAUGCCGCCCGCCGCCGCUCGCUCCGGUUCAUCUGUUGCUGCCUGACCGCGCCGCCAGCCCGAUGGAUGCGGCCGCCCCCGCGCCCUGCCCGCCCGCAGCCGCCCCGCUGGCUACCGAGCCGGGAACCGCUCCGGAGCUCCGCGGCUGGUAAAAACCAAACCAAAACCAAAUCCGAACCAAAAAACACCCCCCCGCUUCGGCCCGGACUGGAGAGGCGGCCGAGGACCAUGCAGCGUGUCCCCCGGCUCGGCGCUCCCGGCGCGGCGCCGGGCACAGCCGCCUCCUAGAGCCGCCGGACCCGGGGCUCCCCCGGACUCGGGGCUCCCCCCGCCAGGACCCGCGCAUCGAGCGGCUCCUCCUUCCCUUCUCCCUUCCAGCUGGGCAGGGAGCCCGCCUUCGCACUCCUCUCCCUCUCGAGAUUUUGGGGUUUUUGUUGCGUGUUUGGGUUUAUUUUUUUUUUAUUUUUUUUUUUUGGGUGGAAACCGCCCGUAACUCCGGGGGGGGCUGUGGGGUGGCAGCGGGGAGGCGACCAUGGAAGAAAAGCUCCAGGCGCAUCAGGUGGAGAUCGACCCGGAUUUCGAGCCGCAGAGCCGUCCCCGCUCCUGCACUUGGCCUCUCCCCCACCCCGACUUGGCGGAGGAGGAAGAUGGGGGCGCGGGGGGAACCCCGGCGCUGGCGGCCGGCGGGGACGGAGCCGAGAACGCGGCGGCCCCGGUGGAGCGCAGAGUCGCCGCCGCUCCCCCGCCGCCCCCCGGCGCGGAUGUGGGGCAGCUCCGCAAGGCCAAGACCUCCCGGCGCAACGCCUGGGGCAACCUCUCCUACGCCGACCUCAUCACCAAAGCCAUCGAGAGCUCGCCGGAGAAGCGCCUCACCCUCUCCCAGAUCUACGACUGGAUGGUGCGAUACGUCCCCUACUUUAAGGAUAAAGGAGACAGCAACAGCUCCGCCGGCUGGAAGAACUCCAUCCGGCACAACCUGUCGCUGCACACCCGCUUCAUCCGCGUGCAGAACGAGGGCACCGGGAAGAGCUCCUGGUGGAUGCUGAACCCCGAGGGCGGCAAGACGGGCAAGACGCCGCGGCGGCGGGCGGUGUCCAUGGACAACAACAGCAAGUUCCUGCGCAUCAAGGGCAAGGCCAGCAAGAAGAAGCAGCUGCAGGUGACGCAGGAGCGCGGGGAGGACAGCCCGUCCUCCCAGCAAGCCAAGUGGUCGGAGAGCCCCGCGUCCCACGCCAGCGAUGAGUACGACGCCUGGGCGGACUUCCGGACGCGGGCCAACUCCACGGCCAGCACGCUGAGCGGGCGCCUCUCGCCCAUCAUGGCCAACCACGAGCCGGACGAGCUGGAGGAGGACGACGGUACCCCCUCAUCCCCGCUGAUGUACCCCAGCCCCUCCAGCACCAUGUCUCCGUCCCUCAGCGCCCGCUGCUCCGUGGAGCUGCCCCGGCUGACCGACCUGACCGGCACCAUCAGCCUGAACGAGAGCCUGGGGGAGAGCAUGCUGGAGGACCUGCAGGACGGCUACAGCAUGAGCCCCUCCCAGCAGCUCCCCCCGGCCGCCCUGCGGCAGCGGAGCUCCAGCUUCACCUUCAACUCCAAGUGCUCCAGCAUGGGGGCCGCCUCCAACACCUACUGCGGGACCAUCUACAGCCAGCCGGCCAUGAGCCUCAUGCGCCGCCUGCCCAUGCAGACCAUCCAGGAGAACAAGCAGGCCACCUUCUCGCCCGCCAGCUCCUACAGGAACGCCUCGCUGCAGGACCUGCUCUCCUCCAUCUCCUACGCGCACAAGGAGAGCAUGGUCCCGGGGGAGCUGCCCCUGCCGCAGGCCAGCCCCAUGGUGCCGGCCCGUGGCCACAGACACAACCCGCUGCUGUGCGGGGGCGGGGAGCAGGGCUUGUCCUCCUACCCGCCCCACCCGGGCUCUCUCGUGAAGAGCAACGCGUUGUACCACCCGUCACCAGCCGGUCACCACCCUGCGGUCAACACCAGUGCCUUAGCCAAUCCUGUCAGCCUUAUGAGCCUGCCCAGUGACUCGUGCAGCAUGACGGCCGUGCCGCACCACGGGCACCUGCAUUCCUACGCUAAUAACCAAGGGGCACACAUGAGCUUGCUGGAUUCGCUGCAGGGCCCCUACCCGGGGGCCGUCCACCCCCCCGUGUUGGGCCAAGACAGGUUCCCAGCAGACCUGGACCUGGACAUGUUCAACGGGAGCCUGGAGUGCGACGUGGAGUCCAUCAUCCUGAAUGACUUUAUGGACAGCGAUGAGAUGGACUUCAACUUCGACUCGGCCCUCCCGCCGCAGAACGGGCUCAACGUGCCCGCGCUGCCCGGGGGGCCGCAGCCCACGAACCAGAGCUGGGUGCCCGGGUGACGCCUGCCCCGGCACGGGCUCACCACCGGGAAGCCACGAGGGGAACAUUGAGACUAACUUUUUUUUUUCCUUUCUCUUCUGCCUUUGUUUGUUAAGAUGGGCGAGAGCCGUCGGUCUGAGCUUGAGGUCGAACACGAAACACAAACCGGAGGGUCAAAUAUUGAGACGGGGGAGGACCCCCCCAGCCCCACGUGUGCCCGGUCUGCAGGUCCUGCCAGCAUCCUCUGGAGGACACAGGGCAGGUGGGUGGGAGAGGCAGCCGGAGCCAGGCAGAUCCGGGGGGUAGCAGGCAGGGAAAGCCUUUCCAGACGGUCCCAGUGCCCCGUGGCAGUGGUGCCAGUUUGAUUCGCCCUUGGGCUGGGUGACAGAGUGGUGACGGCUGGUGGCGUGGGACCCUCCCCGUGUGGGCAUCCCCCUGGGAGGGGACUCUCCUCUGAGCCACCUUGGGAUUGAGUCCUCUGGGUAGAAGUGUCAGGAGCGGGGACCCUGCCCCAAGGCAAGGGGGGGCUCGUGACCCCUCAGUCCUGGUGGAGAUGGGAGCUCUGCCAAGCCCACACCCCCAGGCCACCUCCACUGCAGGUGUCCUCGUGUGGCUCCAGGCAGGUUUUCUUACUCAGCAGCGAGAAGGGGGUGGUGAUGGUGAGCAGCCAGCAGCCCUGGGAGCAGCAUCUUGGCAGCCCCCGGGGCCUGAGGGUGCCAGGGAAGGCUGCAGCCCCUGCCUGGAGCAGGCUGGGCGUGCUCCAGGGGGGUCCUGAUGGGAGUGAGGGUCCCCUGAGCUGGAGGCUCAGGGGCAGCUCGCAGGGGCGGGGAGGGGGGCGUAUUUAUUUGAUUUCAUGCACUCUUUUGCCAUUGAGUUUUUGCGUUGGAAGGAAGAAAGGGGUGAGCUUAGGGAGAGGAGAGAGAGAGGCCACGGGCAGUGCUGGUGGCUGUGUCCCAUCACGUGGCUCUUCUUGGAUGGUGGGGUGAAAGCUGGGGGGCUGUGAUGUGGGUCAUCCUCGAGGAGGGGCUGUGUGUGUGUGGGGAGGGGGGGAUGUGGGGGCCAGGCCUCUGGAUGCAGCGUGGGGUCCAUCCUGCUCCAAGCUUGGGUGACCCACAUUGCUCAGGGAGGUGCCACAGGGCCCCCAGCCAGGGCUGUGGGGCUCCUGUGGGGUCAGUGCCACCAUGCCUGUCCCAGUGUCUCACUGCCCACCCCAGGGGUGCCAGGAGAGCCGAUCCAGGAGCUGUCAGCAAGAGGGGUGCACCCAACUGCCAGGGGCUGGGGCUCCAUGAGGAUGGGGACCAUGAUUCACACGUGGUCCUGCUGUGUGUCAGGACUCCAGACUGACCCCACUGCCCCACGGGGCAGGAACGGGCCAGGAACGUCCAUCCCAUACAGCUGCCAGGAGCAGCAGGGUUUUGGGGAGGUUCAGGCUGGUGACCAGCAGGAGCAACUGGUCUGGAGAUGAUGGAGGGGCUGGCAGGAGGUGGUGGGAGCUGCUGCUGUGUCCUGUGGGGUCUCUGCUGAGCUGUCCUUCCUCCUGGGCAGCUCUCUGUGACCCCCAGGCCCUGGCUUGCAGCAGGCUCAGUGCACUGAACCAGCACAUUUCCCCAGCCCAGCUCUUCCCUCCUUGCCCCAGCACCAGCUCCUCUGCCACGGAGCAGCUGCUGGGUCCCAGCCAGCCCCAGGGACAGGGGCACCCACGGGUGGCACCUCCUGCUCCUCUCCUGCCCCACACGGCUGUGGCAGAGCGUGACAGAGGAGCCCCAUGUGCCACCUUCACCCGGGGCACACGGCAGGCACGGUCUCUAAAGACAUUCUUACGAGUUAAUUAAUUAUGUUUACAUUAUUUGAUCAUGUACAGAAUUUAAUAUAUUCUAUUAUAUAUAAUCUUUCUUGAAUGCUUUUUUAAAAAGGAUUAUUCUUUGGUCAGGAUCAUUACCGCAUUCCUUUUAUACAUCACCUCUCGUUUCAGGCAUCUUUCAAAUCCUUGGAAACCGAUUGCAAAUGGCAAUUUUAUCCCUGACCCCCCAGUUCAGCACGUGGGUGUGAGGGACCCAGAGGCAGGAGGGCAGCUCUGGCUGCCCUGGAGGAGACAGGGGGCUCUGCCCCCCAGGAGUGGGAGAAAGGGAAGGGGUCCUGGCUUUUCCAGGCACAGAUCCAGCAGCACACCAAUGCUGGGCAGGCGUUUGGAGAUGGGAUUCUCCCACGCAGGGAGCUCCCCGAGCCCCCUUCGGUGUCACGGCCACGGGCCGGCCAUCACCGUGGCGGGAGGAAAACGUCCCCUCGUCCCGCGGCCGCCCCCGCGCCCCUGCCCCUGUGUGGGCACGGCCCCUCGCCAAGCUGUCGUGUGGUUCGUGACCGUGGGGUUGUCGUGUGUGCGGUGCAGUCGUGUCGGUAACGUCGUGUGUUCAGUGGUCGUGCGGGGCGAGGGGCGGCGGGGGCAGGCACGGGCACCCCCGAGCGCUGGCACCCCGGGGGCUGCGGGGACAGGUGAUCAAAGGACCUGGGCACGUGGGGACAGGUGACCAAAGGACCCAGGGCCAUGGGGACAAGGUGACCGAAGGACCCAGGGCCAUGGGGACAAGGUGACCAAAGGACCCAGGCACGUGGUGUUGUAGGGACAGGUGACCAAAGGGCCCAGGGCCAUGGGGACAAGGUGACCGAAGGACCCAGGGCCAUGGGGACAGGUGACCGAAGGACCCGGGCACGUGGGGCUGCGGUGGCCAGGUGCUGACGGACUGGGGGUGUGGGGCAGGCAGGUCCUGGGGCUGUGCCCCCCCGCCACUGUGGCUGUGGGGGACACCAGGGCUUUGUGUCACCGGCUGAGGCUCCAGGUUCCCUCUCUGGAAUCAGCGAGGCCACCUCAUGUCCCACCACACUCAGCUUCAUCCUCCCUUCUCCAUCACCCCCUUCCCUCUGGGACCAGGAGCUGCCUCUGCUCCCUCCCUGCCCUGGUGUGGGGGACACCCGAGGGCCCCCCCGGGCUGCUUCCCCCGGCGGUUUUGGGUCCUUUCCCUCGUAUUUAUAGCUGUACAGACUGGGGGGGAGGGUCGGAGGCGUCAUCUCUCACACGCAUCUAUCGUAGGCAAUGGUAACUUUCUUGGUUGUGCUAUUAGAGUUUGUGUAUGUGGCAAUGUAAAGAACUGUGUAUAGUGCAUUGUACAGCAUAUUUUCAUGAAUAAAAUUGUUUUAA